UACAUGUGGGGCAAGCGUUGUUCGGAAUUACUGGGCAUAAAGGGUGCGUAGGCGGUUUUGUAAGUCGGGCGUGAAAUCCGAUGGCCCAACCAUCGAACUGCGUUUGAUACUGCGAGACUUGAGUGCGUGAGGGGAGACUGGAACGAGUGGUGUAGCGGUGAAAUGCGUAGAUAUCACUCGGAACGCCAACGGCGAAGGCAGGUCUCUGGUACGCAACUGACGCUGAGGCACGAAAGCGUGGGGAGCAAACAGGAUUAGAUACCCUGGUAGUCCACGCCGUAAACGAUGAGCACUAGAUUGCUGGCGAGCUAUUCGUUGGCAGUCGCAGACAAUUUGUUAAGUGCUCCGCCUGGGGAGUAUGGUCGCAAGGCUG
Molecule: ribosomal RNA, 373 nt
Filed under: uncultured prokaryote
Description: bacterial SSU rRNA
Rfam family: Bacterial small subunit ribosomal RNA
Source: RNAcentral